UUGCACGCUGGCGGCAGGCCUCACACAUGCCAGUCGAACGGUAACAGGAAGCAGCUUGCUGCUUUGCUGACGAGUGGCGGACGGGUGAGUAAUGUCUGGGAAACUGCCCGAUGGAGGGGGAUAACUACUGGAAACGGUAGCUAAUACCGCAUAACGUCGCAAGACCAAAGAGGGGGACCUUAGGGCCUCUUGCCAUCGGAUGUGCCCAGAUGGGAUUAGCUAGUAGGUGGGGUAACGGCUCACCUAGGCGACGAUCCCUAGCUGGUCUGAGAGGAUGACCAGCCACACUGGAACUGAGACACGGUCCAGACUCCUACGGGAGGCAGCAGUGGGGAAUAUUGCACAAUGGGCGCAAGCCUGAUGCAGCCAUGCCGCGUGUAUGAAGAAGGCCUUCGGGUUGUAAAGUACUUUCAGCGGGGAGGAAGGGAGUAAAGUUAAUACCUUUGCUCAUUGACGUUACCCGCAGAAGAAGCACCGGCUAACUCCGUG
Molecule: ribosomal RNA, 489 nt
Filed under: uncultured bacterium
Lineage: Bacteria
Description: partial 16S ribosomal RNA
Rfam family: Bacterial small subunit ribosomal RNA
Source: RNAcentral